CUGCGGCAGCGAACGUAUCACCCAAGACAACUUUGCGGAGUUGACGAUUGACGGAGCGAAGCGACGUCAAAGCGUUCAUUAAAGUCGAGUUGGCUUAGGGAUACGUUCGUUGGGUAGGGGAGCGUUCUGUAAGCCAGUGAAGGUGUGUCGUGAGGCAUGCUGGAGGUAUCAGAAGUGCGAAUGCUGACAUAAGUAACGAUAAAGCGGGUGAAAAGCCCGCUCGCCGGAAGACCAAGGGUUCCUGUCCAACGUUAAUCGGGGCAGGGUGAGUCGACCCCUAAGGCGAGGCCGAAAGGCGUAGUCGAUGGGAAACGGGUUAAUAUUCCCGUACUUGGUGUUACUGCGAAGGGGGGACGGAGAAGGCUAUGUUGGCCGGGCGACGGUUGUCCCGGUUUAAGCGUGUAGGUGUGUGUUCCAGGUAAAUCCGGUUCACUUUAACACUGAGGCGUGACGACGAGGCACUACGGUGCUGAAGCAACAAAUGCCCUGCUUCCAGGAAAAGCCUCUAAGCAUCAGGUAACAUCAAAUCGUACCCCAAACCGACACAGGUGGUCAGGUAGAGAAUACCAAGGCGCUUGAGAGAACUCGGGUGAAGGAACUAGGCAAAAUGGUGCCGUAACUUCGGGAGAAGGCACGCUGACACGUAGGUGAAGUGAUUUACUCAUGGAGCUGAAGUCAGUCGAAGAUACCAGCUGGCUGCAACUGUUUAUUAAAAACACAGCACUGUGCAAACACGAAAGUGGACGUAUACGGUGUGACGCCUGCCCGGUGCCGGAAGGUUAAUUGAUGGGGUCAGCGCAAGCGAAGCUCCUGAUCGAAGCCCCGGUAAACGGCGGCCGUAACUAUAACGGUCCUAAGGUAGCGAAAUUCCUUGUCGGGUAAGUUCCGACCUGCACGAAUGGCGUAAUGAUGGCCAGGCUGUCUCCACCCGAGACUCAGUGAAAUUGAACUCGCUGUGAAGAUGCAGUGUACCCGCGGCAAGACGGAAAGACCCCGUGAACCUUUACUAUAGCUUGACACUGAACAUUGAGCCUUGAUGUGUAG
Molecule: ribosomal RNA, 1044 nt
Filed under: Salmonella enterica
Lineage: Bacteria; Pseudomonadati; Pseudomonadota; Gammaproteobacteria; Enterobacterales; Enterobacteriaceae
Also listed under: 2 other names
Description: partial 23S ribosomal RNA
Rfam family: Bacterial large subunit ribosomal RNA
Source: RNAcentral